Molecule: transfer RNA, 76 nt
Filed under: Opitutaceae bacterium
Lineage: Bacteria; Pseudomonadati; Verrucomicrobiota; Opitutia; Opitutales; Opitutaceae
Description: tRNA-Pro
Rfam family: tRNA
About the family: Transfer RNA (tRNA) molecules are approximately 80 nucleotides in length.
Source: RNAcentral
CCGGGCGUAGCGUAGCAGCCAACGCACUCGGCUUGGGACCGAGGGAUCGGGAGUGCAAAUCUCCCCGCCCGGACCA